CAGUAGCCACGGUAAUACGGAGGGGGCUAGCGUUGUUCGGAAUUACUGGGCGUAAAGCGCACGUAGGCGGCUUGGUAAGUUAGAGGUGAAAGCCUGGAGCUCAACUCCAGAAUUGCCUUUAAGACUGCCGAGCUAGCAGGUGAGAGAGGUAAGUGGAAUUCCGAGUGUAGAGGUGAAAUUCGUAGAUAUUCGGAAGAACACCAGUGGCGAAGGCGGCUUACUGGCUCAUACUGGACGCUGAGGUGCGAAAGCGGGGGGAGCAAACAGGAUUAGAUACCCCUGUAGUCCCUGUCUCUUAUAC
Molecule: ribosomal RNA, 301 nt
Filed under: uncultured bacterium
Lineage: Bacteria
Description: partial 16S ribosomal RNA
Rfam family: Bacterial small subunit ribosomal RNA
Source: RNAcentral